Molecule: unclassified non-coding RNA, 236 nt
Filed under: uncultured Cortinarius
Lineage: Eukaryota; Fungi; Basidiomycota; Agaricomycetes; Agaricales; Cortinariaceae
Description: sequence contains ITS1
Source: RNAcentral
UUGAAAUAAAUCUAGCGGGUUGCUGCUGGUUCUUUAAUGAACAUGUGCACACCUGUUAUCUUUAUAUUUCCACUUGUGCACCUUUUGUAGACCUGGAUAAGUUUUCUUAAUGCUAGCAUUAAGGUUUUUGGGAUUGGCCCUUUGUCUUUCCUUUUUAUCUCCUGGUCUAUGUUUAUUCAUAUACCCUAAUGUAUGUUAUUGAAUGUAAUAAUUGGGCCUUGUGCCUAUAAACUAUA